AACGAACGCUGGCGGCGUACCUAACACAUGCAAGUCGUACGAGAAAUUCCGAUUCGUCGGGAGAGUAAAGUGGCGAACGGGUGAGUAACACUAGGGUAAUCUUCCCUUAAAUAAGGGAUAACGUUGCGAAAGCGACGCUAAUACCUUAUAAGACUACGAUCUCUUAGGAGGUAGUAGGAAAAGAUGGCCUCUGUUUCAAGCUAUCGUUUAAGGAUGAGCCCUAGCACUAUUAGCUAGUUGGUGAGGUAACGGCUCACCAAGGCGACGAUGGUUAGCUGGUCUGAGAGGAUGGCCAGCCACACUGGAACUGAGACACGGUCCAGACUCCUACGGGAGGCAGCAGUGAGGAAUAUUGCGCAAUGGGGGCAACCCUGACGCAGUGACGCCGCGUGAGUGAUGAAGGCUUUCGAGUCGUAAAGCUCUGUUAGGUGGAAAGAAACAAUCCCGGCGCUAAUAUCGUCGGGACUUGACGGUACCACCAGAGGAAGCACCGGCUAACUCCGUGCCAGC
This 510-nucleotide ribosomal RNA is filed under the name uncultured bacterium. RNAcentral's name for it is "bacterial SSU rRNA". It matches the Rfam family "Bacterial small subunit ribosomal RNA", at positions 29 to 512 of the family's 1533-position model. The record is from RNAcentral.